This is a long non-coding RNA of Bos taurus (domestic cattle), 1132 nucleotides long. NCBI's taxonomy places the organism in Eukaryota, Metazoa, Chordata, Mammalia, Artiodactyla, Bovidae. The record is from Ensembl.
GCAGGCCCCUGAUUCUCGUUGGCAUCACACAGCUCCCUGCGUCCAAAUGUGGACCGUUCAACUGCACUUAUGAACAGCCCUGCGACCUGCGCGCCCGGCCCCUGGCUCUCUGGCUGCUGAGGCAGCGAGGCUGCUGGAGCCCGCCGCUCGUCAGCCACCAGGGAGUGGAACGGUGUGUGGCACAGUCGACCUUGGUCCAGAGACGACGUAGCACCGCCCCUUCCGUCUGUGCACCUGAGGUUUCGGCCGCUGUCAGGACACCCACCCUUGUGUUCUCUUCAUGCCAAAGUUUAAUUCAAGCUCCAGGUGGUCAGUUGUCUAUCUGACAGCUUCCGUGGGCUGCUCUGGGGAAUAACCAUCGGCUGGCUGAUGUUACUUCCCAUGAGAUUAAUUUCUGGUGGGGACUUGGAAGUCUCUGGAAAACAGAAUGCUUCUUCUGACUCCUCAGAAGGUCAGACGGACUCACGUGCAUUGGUCCAGUGCACAGCCUGGAUUUGCUCCAGCGGCACUGGGGAGCGUGUGUCCCCGGAAACGAGGGUCCCCGAGCUCUCCGAAGGUCUCCACAGCUUGGUCACCCACCGUGUGCAGUCCCAGGCCUCCUCCCCCCUCCACAUUGGCACCACUGAUAGCCAGGCCUUGACCUCCAGACUCUGUGCUCCAGUGACGACAGUCUGUAGAAGAUGCCACAUGGGUUCUCAGGAGUGGGGCCUCCCACCUGGGCUCCAGUUUUGAGUAAAUAACUAAACUGCUGUUUUCUAGCAGUGGUGAUGCCUGUGGCCAUCUCCCCGGGGAGUGGAGUCUGAUGAUAGAUGCCAACACUGAACAGACUGAGGGCCUGAGCAUUUCGCAUUCAUCACCUUCCCAGCCAUCCCCAGAGUACCUUCAGAAAUGUUGCCCAGUAGGUGCAAAGUCGAGCUGCUCAUCUGCUACAACAUCAGAACGCUCAGCUCUAAAGACUCUGAGCUUGUUCAGAUGCCCAAGUGCCCUCGCUCACAGAUGCAGGCACGCAAUUCCUCCUAAAGCUACAGAGACAGCUAGUAGCCGACUGAAGCAUUAGCUAGGUAUCCAAAUUAGAGGAACUAGGAGACCAUCUUCCAGCUCAUAUUUCUCAAUUCCUAACAUUAGGCAGAGA